Seriola aureovittata is the source of this 1122-nucleotide long non-coding RNA. RefSeq lists it as uncharacterized. The transcript has 4 exons. The record is from RefSeq and is a predicted model, not a curated record. Lineage: Eukaryota; Metazoa; Chordata; Actinopteri; Carangiformes; Carangidae.
UCCAGAGUCAACUUAACAAAUCCAUGCUAAUGAGGGGAAAACCACAACUGAGCCAUAGCAAAGAAAAUGUUACCAACUUAACCAAACUGCUGCAAAAGAAAGAAGUGAAAUGUAAGAGAAUACACUGACACAACCAAUUUAACUCAAACUAGUCCAGACUAACUUGAUAUGCACAGGCGACCGUGCCACUCUGUGAGACACUAAUCACAACAUUCAUGAGUCAGAGGACAAAACAUGUCAGAGUAAACCAAACCACAAAGCACCAAAACACCCCAUUCACAGAGAGACCAAACAGGAUCCAAAUUAAAAAAGCCAAAUCAAACACGCCCAAUUUAAAGGAGCCAUUUGUAAGUUUUGCUUUUGCUACAUAACCAGUGUUAGCAACUGUCUACGUCCUUACCAGUCGGGAAUAAGUCAAGUCGAGUUUAGCAUCAAACUUCAUUCCUUUACUUACCAAGAGUAGCAGCAGUGGAAAUCAACGCCCUUGUUUUGCUUCUAUUUCUUUCACUUCUUCUACUGAAGUUAGCAUGCUAACCAGCUAGCCCCAGCCCUUUCUUGUCACUUUCUGAUAGUGAGUCACUGUAGUGUCCAGUCCGCCCUGUAGCGCUGCUCAGAGGACACAUGAUGACCUCUUGUCUGGUAAAUAUAAUGAUGGCUGAAGGUUUCGGCAAAUACUGCUCCAACAUCCCACAAACCCCUGCUCCUCUAAUAGGAAAUGCUACUCAGGCCUUCACCCAGGGCUGAAGCCAGCUAAGUUUAAGAGAAAUACGAUAUGUCACCGCUGAAACAGCUACACAGGAGCCUUUGUCCUCAACAAAGAACAGCGCACGGUGGAGUUUGCACGUUUGUGCGACAGGUGUCUGGAUGGCGAAGCUACACCUAGAUCGGAAGAACCAGUGUUGCAGACAUAUAAGAAGUCACCUCUUCAUGCUGUCUUUGGGCUCUCUCUCGGCUCCUCAGCAUAAUCUGAUGUUGUGUCCAUGAAGACAAGAAUUAACACUUCACUCAUCCCAUUCAUGCUCACAUGUACCCACAUCACUGAUGAUACUGAUGUCCAAACCUCACAACUUACCUCAGUUGUUUUUUGUUCAAUGCAUCAUAUUGUUGUUAAUAAAUGUACUA